This is an RNA transcript of Nymphaea colorata (pocket water lily), 3416 nucleotides long. It is a transcript of the gene named putative oxidoreductase TDA3, with no coding region annotated. The record is from RefSeq and is a predicted model, not a curated record. Lineage: Eukaryota; Viridiplantae; Streptophyta; Magnoliopsida; Nymphaeales; Nymphaeaceae. The transcript has 2 exons.
GAUUAAUGGCUCGAUGUUUUCUGCUAGAUGCAACCCUCCCGUUAUCCUCCUCCCGUCGUUUAUUGAUAUUUUUUUCUAGAAGCAACCCUUCCAUGUUAUCCCCUGCAACUUUUUCGUCGUUGUGGCCUGAAGGCCCUGAACGUCCGUUGCGCCUAUCUUCCAUUUGUUACCACCUCCACCACCACAUCAUCGGGAAGCAUGGAGAUGGCUCGGCCGCUACCGGCGGCUACACCAUCCACGUUCACUGGCGAUGGCACGAGGCCGCCGAAGAAGGUCGUGGUGUGCGGCGGCGGUGUGGUGGGCGUCUGCGCUGCAUACUUCCUUGCCCAGAAGGGCGGACCGACCACAUCGAUCACGGUCAUCGAGAAAUCAUCUGUUGCCUGCGCUGCCUCCGGCAAGGCCGGUGGAUUCCUGGCCCUCGACUGGUGCGACGGAUCACCUCUCUCGCAACUCGCGCGCACCAGCUUCCAGCUCCAUAGAGACCUCGCUCGGGAGCUCGAUGGCCACAUCAACUAUGGAUACCGUCCCGUGGACACCCUCUCUCUUUCCUUACAGGAACAAUCGAAGUUGAAGAGCGGAAGUAGCAGAGUUGGCCUCCCCCCUUGGGUCGACGGCCCCUUUUCUGGCGUACCCAAAACCAUAGGGACAACGGAGACCACAGCGCAGGUCCAUCCCCAACUGUUCACGCGAACCCUUCUGUCUAAGGCCGUUGAGGACCACGGGGUUCAGUUGGUGAUCGGAGCGGUGGAAAAUGUGGAAAUCCAAGACGGUCAGGUACUGUCGGUCCUCGUCAAGAAGGGAGCGGCGGAAGGUGGUUCUCCAACAAUCAUCGAUGCCGAUGCGGUGGUUCUCGCGUUGGGACCCUGGUCCGGUAAGUUUGGAGUCUUAUCUUCUCUGUUCAGGGUGCACGGAAUCAAGGCGCACAGCAUCGUCUUGAGGCCCGAGAAGCCCGAGGAGAUCACCCCUCAUGCCCUCUCCUUGAGCUACACCACCAACGGAAAAUGCCUCGACCUGGAGGUCUACCCACGGCCCACCGGCGAGGUUUACAUUUGCGGCAUGUUGGAGGAUGACGCUCCAGUGCCGGACGGGGCGGAGCAGGUGGAGCCGAAGGGGGAGUCGAUCGAGAUGCUCAAGAGGAUCGGCGAAACGGUGUCGAGCCGAUUGAGUGUCGGUUCGGCUACAGUGGAGGCGGAGCAGGCCUGCUUCUUGCCGUGCACGACGGACGGCCAGCCAGUGAUCGGACAGGUGCCGAACGUGAAGGGUUUGUACGUGGCGACGGGUCAUAGCUGCUGGGGUAUACUCAAUGGGCCGGCUACCGGAGCUGCGGUGGCGGAGCUCGUCUUGGACGGCCAAUCGGCUAUCGUUGACCUCAAACCUUUUAGUCCGUUGAGGUUUCUCCGUGGCCAUGGCCGGCCUUGAAGUCGGAUGUCUGGGUAAGGACACCAGCAAACAAGAAGAGGCCAUUCUCUCGAUGCCUUAGUUUGGUUGGUCGUCGGCACAUUGAAAUUGGGCAUUUCAGAUAUCCCCUUGAUUUAUUUCUUCACAGGAAGAAGAAACCCAGACAGCUGAGCAAUGCGACUUUGUGAUAGAACCAAUGGCCGCAUACUGCAACAACGCAUUGUUAUUUGUUUAUACAAUCUCAUAUGUUCAUUACAUAAACCAUUCAGGUGGCCUACUGCAUAUUGUCUGUUUUUAUAAGGACGGAUGCAUACAACUAACAACUCCAUAUGCAAAAAUGUCACAUUUUUAAGGUCAGAAACGAAGGAACAUUAGACCACUGGUGCAACUUGCAUAUAUUUACCGUAGUACAUUAACCAAAACAAGCACUUGUAUAUGAUUUCUAGAUGUGACAACAUUGAGUGUUCUAUUUCUCCCACAUGCAAAAAAUUAGGAGUGUACAUUUGCAUAUGGGUGAGGUUAUAUAUUGUACACUCAACACAUUUUCUCAUGUUGAAAAAACAUUGUAAAAUUUAUUUUCAAAUUUUGGUUUGUUGGUCAUGUUAUGGCACUUAUGUUUAAACUUGGUUGCUUUGAUAAAAUGUCCUCAUCAAGUGCUCAACCACCUGCCUCCUUUUAUUUUAACAAAUCCAGUUACGGUGGUGAUACAUGUUGAUAUGUUCACAUCCCUGCUCAUUUCCCUCCCCUUGAAGCAACCAACCGUCCUUUUAUUUUUUGGCACAUGCGUGUCAAAUAAAACUACUUUCACUCUCUUUUGUAAUGGUGUUUUUGAUUUCUGACAUUUUCCUAUAAACAAAAAUGCAUCGUAUGUAAAGUCUUUUUGGUAGAAAUUUAUUGACUUUAUAUAUUAAAAUAAUAUUUAUGUCGCUUGUUGCACGAUGUAGGAACACAUUUGAAGGAUAAAAAAUAAAGGAUAUUUUAUUGAAGCAUAAUUUAACUAAAGUAGAUGUUAAUUCGUUACGACUCCAUCUAGCAUAAGACAUAACAGGUUAUUAUAGCUGCUUGUGAGCAUGCUUACAUUCCCCUAUGUCAUAUUGUACUUGACCACUAUUUGUCAAAACAUUGUUGUUUUAUAGAAACAUAUAUAUGUUGUUUACCUCCUAUGAGUAAUUUUGUAUUCAGAUUGAAUAUAUUCAUCUGACAAUGUCCAACGAAAGAUGCAACAUGUUGUUACAUCCAUAUGUCUGUAGAUAUAUGGUCUUCUAGCCCUAUUGUACUUGAGUACCAUCUAUGAAAUAGUUGUAAUUUUAAACUAUAUCAUAUGUAUGUUGCGACCAUGAUUUGAGCAUUUGUGUUUAGUAUAAGUAAAAUCCACUAGUUUCUUACAUGAGAAUGAGUAUUUAUGUUGUUCCUUACAUGUUGGUGAUGCUUUUGAUAUUGGAAAUUGAACUUUGUUGAACCGUAGUUUAACUGGAGUAGGUGUUGAUUAAGAACAAUUACUUUUUUGAAUGUAUCUACAAAUUUUGUUUGUUGAUCUAAGUAAACAACAUUUGUGUCAAAUGUGACAAGCUUCUACAUCAAACAUCGCACAUUCUCUUAGUAAAUUUAGGAUGAUAGACUUGAAUCGUAGGUGCUAGGCAAGAACAUAUUGGUGAUGAGAAUGCAGCCCAUAACUAGCAUAGGCACAAUUAGGUUAUACUAAUUCAGAAGCAUCACCAGUACAAGUAAGCUUCACUUGCUUCGUGCUUCUUGCAUGAAAAAUAGUAUUUAUUUUGUUUCUUACAUGUUGGUAAUGUAUUUGAUACCGGAUAUUGAAAUAAAUUUUGUUGAAGCAUAGUGUAACUAGAGCAUGUGUUCAUGAUAACUUGACAACAGUGCAAUUUUUUUGGCAUUUAACUGCAUGUUUUGUUUUUUGGUGUAAGUGAGCAACAUUUAUGUCAAAUCUGGCAAACUUCAACAUUAAAUGUCACAAAUUCUUUUAAUACAAAUUUAGAACGAUAGACUCCAAUCACAGGUGA